GUAUGUAAAUUCCCUAACGAGGAAGUACAUUUUCCUACCUUCUGAAGCUGGAAGUACAAAUUGAUUUUGCUGAUCACACAGCACGGGAUAUUCCGUUGAAAAGCGAAAUUGUACCGAAAGUAGUAGUCUGGAGACGUGUUUUCACAAAUGGAAAACUUGACAAUUGGCACGCCAUUUCAAAACGCGGCUCUUCAUUUCACGACGCGUGCUCAAAAGACGCCGAACUGCAACAGCGAGGCCAAACAGGGAUACGUGAGACAUUUUGGCAACGCUGGACUCAAAGAAGUGCAAGGCUGCUGUGCAGAAGGGGACACUCGCCGAGCGGUGCCAAUUCUGAAAACCGAUCGUAGUUUUGACAUGAUGCUGAACUGCUCUCCUGCGGCCCAGGAUACAUCUGUAAACAUUGGCUAAAUGAAGUCAGUGGGGUUCUCACAAUGAAACACCCCCUGCUCCCACCCCCCGAUGGCCCUUCCAUCCAUUUCUGAGGGACUUCAGAUAUCCAAUGGAUGUGCUAAAAACCCCGCUGUGUCAGGUCCUUUAGACCCGUCUCUGGCUCCCAUCUCUGACAUCUGCUCAGGGUUGGGGUUUCAUUCAAGAGGGGGGCAGAGGGAGUCAAUCUGCUCUUUUAAAAGAGCCUCACAGUGCCCUGGGUGCUGAUGGGGUGGAAUGAAGAAUCCGCACAAUUUCUCUUGCUGGCACCACUGAUGUGCUAUUCUCCAUCCCUUCUCCAUCAAUGCCACCACAACUGAAAGCCGUCUUUCAUAUCCUCCCACGGCUCCAGAUUGACAGGCAUCAGACAGUUCAGGUGAUGAGGAGGAGAGGGUGUGAAUGGAGAUAGAGAGGUGCCAUGUUUGAACACUUCCUAAAGAAGCAUGCCCGAUACUCGGCAAAAAAAAGGCCCCGCGCUUCCAGUCCUUUUUGGCAAGUCGACCAUGAUGACUAUUUGAAGACUUGACAGAUUGUGCUGAUGUGUUUAUUUAGUUGCGCAAAUGCGGAAUGGAGCUGUUUUCAAGCUUUAUUUAUGUUGCAUAUUAACUCGGUCACCAACAGAAAUGAGGCAGCAUCAAUCAUCCACUUGAUGGGAAGAACACUGAAACAUUUAUUUUAGCAUCGGGUAGAUAGCGGCAUCUGUACACUUUCCCAAGUGGAUAGAAAAUAAAUGAUCUGUGCCUUUGUAUAUCACUAUAUAGACGCUGA
This 1197-nucleotide long non-coding RNA is filed under the name Sinocyclocheilus grahami. RNAcentral describes it as "lncRNA (ENSSGRG00000016219.1)". The record is from RNAcentral. Lineage: Eukaryota; Metazoa; Chordata; Actinopteri; Cypriniformes; Cyprinidae.